Molecule: small nucleolar RNA, 128 nt
Filed under: Neotoma lepida (desert woodrat)
Lineage: Eukaryota; Metazoa; Chordata; Mammalia; Rodentia; Cricetidae
Description: Small nucleolar RNA SNORA27
Rfam family: Small nucleolar RNA SNORA27
About the family: ACA27 is a member of the H/ACA class of snoRNA that guide the sites of modification of uridines to pseudouridines.
Source: Rfam by way of RNAcentral
CACCCCCCUUUCACUUUGCCAAUUGGACUUCAUGUCUUCAUUGGCCAUUCAAGUGGGGCAAAGGAAAUAACCUUUUAAAACUCAGGCAAACUUAAGUGUUUGUCUGGAACCUGUCAGGGGAAACAUUG